Molecule: ribosomal RNA, 402 nt
Filed under: uncultured bacterium
Lineage: Bacteria
Description: bacterial SSU rRNA
Rfam family: Bacterial small subunit ribosomal RNA
Source: RNAcentral
CCACCUUUGACAUGUACGGAAUUCGCCAGAGAUGGCCUUAGUGCUCGAAAGAGAACCGUAACACAGGUGCUGCAUGGCUGUCGUCAGCUCGUGUCGUAAGAUGUUGGGUUAAGUCCCGCAACGAGCGCAACCCUUGUCAUUAGUUGCUACAUUCAGUUGGGCACUCUAAUGAGACUGCCGGUGACAAACCGGAGGAAGGUGGGGAUGACGUCAAGUCCUCAUGGCCCUUAUAGGUGGGGCUACACACGUCACACAAUGGCUGGUACAAAGGGUUGCCAACCCGCGAGGGGGAGCUAAUCCCAUAAAACCAGUCGUAGUCCGGAUCGCAGUCUGCAACUCGACUGCGUGAAGUCGGAAUCGCUAGUAAUCGUGGAUCAGCAAUGUCACGGUGAAUACGUUCCC